Molecule: ribosomal RNA, 484 nt
Filed under: uncultured bacterium
Lineage: Bacteria
Description: partial 16S ribosomal RNA
Rfam family: Bacterial small subunit ribosomal RNA
Source: RNAcentral
AUUGAACGCUGGCGGCAUGCCUUACACAUGCAAGUCGAACGGCAGCACGGGAGCAAUCCUGGUGGCGAGUGGCGAACGGGUGAGUAAUACAUCGGAACGUGCCCAAUCGUGGGGGAUAACGCAGCGAAAGCUGUGCUAAUACCGCAUACGAUCUACGGAUGAAAGCAGGGGACCGCAAGGCCUUGCGCGAAUGGAGCGGCCGAUGGCAGAUUAGGUAGUUGGUGGGGUAAAGGCUCACCAAGCCAACGAUCUGUAGCUGGUCUGAGAGGACGACCAGCCACACGGGGACUGAGACACGGCCCAGACUCCUACGGGAGGCAGCAGUGGGGAAUUUUGGACAAUGGGCGCAAGCCUGAUCCAGCCAUGCCGCGUGCAGGAUGAAGGCCUUCGGGUUGUAAACUGCCUUUGUACGGAACGAAACGGCCUUUUCUAAUAAAGAGGGCUAAUGACGGUACCGUAAGAAUAAGCACCGGCUAACUACGUG